UACGGGGGGAGCAAGCGUUGUUCGGAUUUACUGGGCGUAAAGGGCGCGUAGGCGGUCAGCACAAGUCGGUUGUGAAAUCUCCGGGCUCAACCCGGGAAGUGCUUCUGAUACUGUUUGGCUUGAGUACUGGAGAGGAUAGUAGAAUUCCAGGUGUAGUGGUGAAAUACGUAGAUAUCUGGAGGAACACCGGUGGCGAAGGCGGCAUCCUGGACCAAUUCUGACGCUGAGGAGCGAAAGCGUGGGGAGCAAACAGG
Molecule: ribosomal RNA, 254 nt
Filed under: uncultured bacterium
Lineage: Bacteria
Description: partial 16S ribosomal RNA
Rfam family: Bacterial small subunit ribosomal RNA
Source: RNAcentral